CUGUAGAGGUAUUCGACGCUAGCGUACUAAUUUCAGAGAAAAAAUUCGGAACCCUUGCCCUUCGUCCGUUUACUUACUAGAAGUUACAGGUAGUAUGUACGCUGGUCAUUUUCCGGGUUCGGGAAA
This 126-nucleotide small RNA is filed under the name Pseudomonas sp. URMO17WK12:I2. Its description in RNAcentral is "Pseudomonas sRNA P14". It matches the Rfam family "Pseudomonas sRNA P14". The record is from RNAcentral. Lineage: Bacteria; Pseudomonadati; Pseudomonadota; Gammaproteobacteria; Pseudomonadales; Pseudomonadaceae.